Non-coding RNA from Triticum aestivum (bread wheat), 138 nucleotides. NCBI's taxonomy places the organism in Eukaryota, Viridiplantae, Streptophyta, Magnoliopsida, Poales, Poaceae. The record is from Rfam.
AGUCUGAUGCCAAGUCUCCGGUAGCCUUGACUGGAGAUGCUACAUUGUGUCGAGAGAGAAUCUUGGACGUUUCACAUUUGAUAGGAACAUGUGGCUAUUAUUCAGUCGGUACACUGAGCCGUUUUUGUGAUUGGAACU